Molecule: ribosomal RNA, 274 nt
Filed under: uncultured bacterium
Lineage: Bacteria
Description: partial 16S ribosomal RNA
Rfam family: Bacterial small subunit ribosomal RNA
Source: RNAcentral
AUACGAAGGGGGCAAGCGUUGUUCGGAAUAACUGGGCGUAAAGCGCACGUAGGCGGAAUGUUAAGUUAGAGGUGAAAUCCCAGGGCUCAACCCUGGAACUGCCUUUAAUACUGGCAAUCUAGAGACCGAGAGAGGUGAGUGGAAUUCCGAGUGUAGAGGUGAAAUUCGUAGAUAUUAGGAGGAACACCAGUGGCGAAGGCGGCUCACUGGCUCGGUACUGACGCUCAGGUGCGAAAGCGUGGGGAGCAAACAGGAUUAGAAACCCUUGUAGUCC